CGGGUGCUUGCACCUGGUGGCGAGUGGCGAACGGGUGAGUAAUACAUCGGAACGUACCUUAUCGUGGGGGAUAACGCAGCGAAAGUUGCGCUAAUACCGCAUACGCCCUGAGGGGGAAAGCGGGGGACCGUGAGGCCUCGCGCGAUUAGAGCGGCCGAUGUCUGAUUAUCUUGUGGGUGGGGUACAAGCUCACCAAGGCAAUGAUCAGUGCCUGGUCUGAGAGGACGAUCAGCCACACUGGGACUGAGACACGGCCCAAACUCCUACGGGAGGCAGCAGUGGGGAAUUUUGGACAAUGGGGGCAACCCUGAUCCAGCAAUGCCGCGUGAGUGAAGAAGCCCUUCGGGUUGGUAAGCUCUUUUGUCAGGGAAGAAACAGCAGCUUUAACACAGUCUGCGAAUGACGGUACCUGAAGAAUAAGCACCGGCUAACUACGUGCCAGCAGCCGCGGUAAUACGUAGGGUGCGAGCGUUAAUCGGAAUUACUGGGCGUAAAGCGUGCGCAGGCGGUUAUACAAGACAGGCGUGAAAUCCCCGGGCUUAACCUGGGAAUGGCGUCUGUGACUGUAUAGCUAGAGUGUGUCAGAGGGGGGUGGAAUUCCACGUGUAGCAGUGAAAUGCGUAGAUAUGUGGAGGAACACCAAUGGCGAAGGCAGCCCCCUGGGAUAACACUGACGCUCAUGCACGAAAGCGUGGGGAGCAAACAGGAUUAGAUACCCUGGUAGUCCACGCCCUAAACGAUGCUGACUAGUUGUUGGGAAUUUACAUUCUCAGUAACGUAGCUAACGCGUGAAGUCAGCCGCCUGGGGAGUACGGUCGCAAGAUUAAA
Molecule: ribosomal RNA, 828 nt
Filed under: uncultured Polynucleobacter sp.
Lineage: Bacteria; Pseudomonadati; Pseudomonadota; Betaproteobacteria; Burkholderiales; Burkholderiaceae
Description: bacterial SSU rRNA
Rfam family: Bacterial small subunit ribosomal RNA
Source: RNAcentral